GCUCCUGCCCUGGCUCCUUACCUUGACUUCUAGACUCAGUUUCCCACUAGCUGUCUGAGUGGAGUGUGAUGAGCAGAGAACUAGGGAGGCCAAGUGACAUGCUAGACCCAGUGGGACCAAACACUGGGCUCCAGAGCCAGGCUGCUCAGUGUGGGGCUGUUGUAAAGGGGUUUGAGGGCUGCCUGUUAUUAGGAUUUUUGCAAGGACUCUGUGAUUGCAUGACUCCAUUCUUCUGAAAAAAAUCAGCCAGAAGCAGUGAAGCCCCAGAAAGAACAAAAGAAACCACCACCAAGUUGCCGAUGCUACCAUGAUGCCAACCUGGCUUUCCUGGGCAGAUGACUUCACCAUUGUGUCCUGGAGCCCCACCUCUCCAGAGCCCUGCCCCACUAGGGAAAGAGAGACAGGCUGGGAGUAUGGAUCGACCUGCCAGCGCCCAUGUUCAGCAGAGAAGCAAUUACAGAAGCCAGACCUUCCACCUUCUGCAACCCAUAAUGAUGCUGGAUCCAUACUCCCAGAAGGAUAAAGAAUAGAAAAGCUUUCAAGGGAUGGGGUGGGAUACGGAACUCUUGAAAUGGGUGAGAAUUGUGUGGAAAUGUACCCCUCUUAUCCUAUGGUCUUGUUAAUAUUUUUUAUUUAUUUUAUAAAUUUUAAAAAAGUUUUAAGACAGAGAGGAAAGAGAGAACACUGAAACUUCCAUCAAUGUGGUGGGAGUGGGGCUCGAACCUGUGUUGUGCACAUGGCAAAGCACUAUCAAAGUGAGCUCCUUUGGCAGCCUAGGGUUCAGAUUCUUGAACCAGUGUCCAGAAUCCCAUGGAAGUCUGUUUCAGGUACUGGAGCAAUUAGUGCCAGUGUGGCUUAUCCUAGCCCAGUGCAGAUAUUUCCAUGGCAGACACUGGUGGUAUGCCUGCCCUGGUUUGGGUGCUGGCCUGGGUAUCAUGGGCCACACUCCUGCUCUGAUGGCAUCUGCUUGGCCAGAUGGCAGGUGGCACAGGGCACCUGUGCUGGCCUCUAACCAUCAUUUUCAGCAGGUGUCAGUGAUAACGUUGUAUGGAAUGGACAAUGUUGUGGGGGUGUAAACAUGUCCUGUGAUCUAAUCUUGAAGAUAAGAAUGGAUCAAUGCAGCCAAUGAGGUGGAACAGCAUACAAGGCCUGGGUUGAGGGCCUGGGUUCGAUCCCCAGUUGUCACUGCUUGUGACAGAGCAGUGCUCUGGCCUCACUCUCUUAAAUCAAGCAAAUAAAUUUUUAAAAGAAUGGGUUUGUUGGUGUAUUGUACCAAAGUAAAAGACUCUGGGGUGGUGGGGGAAGGGUUCAGGUCCUGGAACAUGAUGGCAGAGGAAGACCUAGUGGGGGUUGUAUUGUUAUGUGGAAAACUGGAAAAUGUUACACAUGUACAUACUACUGUAUUUUACUGUCGACUGUAAACCACUAAUCCAAUAAAGAAGUUUAAAAAAUG
Erinaceus europaeus (western European hedgehog) is the source of this 1453-nucleotide long non-coding RNA. RefSeq lists it as uncharacterized. The record is from RefSeq and is a predicted model, not a curated record. NCBI's taxonomy places the organism in Eukaryota, Metazoa, Chordata, Mammalia, Eulipotyphla, Erinaceidae. The transcript is spliced from 3 exons.